GGGUCAAGGAUGAGAACGCAUGGUCUCGAAGGGCGAUGAUGACCAAAAUAAAUGUUCAGUGUGAGUGAUCUGAGACCC
Small nucleolar RNA from Eptesicus fuscus (big brown bat), 78 nucleotides. RefSeq annotates it as small nucleolar RNA SNORD115. The transcript has a single exon. Lineage: Eukaryota; Metazoa; Chordata; Mammalia; Chiroptera; Vespertilionidae. The record is from RefSeq and is a predicted model, not a curated record.